AACGCGUGGGAACGUACCCUUUUCUGCAGGAUAGCCACUGGAAACGGUGAGUAAUACUGCAUACGCCCUUCGGGGGAAAGAUUUAUCGGAGAAGGAUCGGCCCGCGUUAGAUUAGAUAGUUGGUGGGGUAACGGCCUACCAAGUCUACGAUCUAUAGCUGGUUUGAGAGGAUGAUCAGCAACACUGGGACUGAGACACGGCCCAGACUCCUACGGGAGGCAGCAGUGGGGAAUCUUAGACAAUGGGCGCAAGCCUGAUCUAGCCAUGCCGCGUGAGUGAUGAAGGCCUUAGGGUCGUAAAGCUCUUUCGCCUGUGAAGAUAAUGACUGUAGCAGGUAAAGAAACCCCGGCUAACUCCGUGCCAGCAGCCGCGGUAAUACGGAGGGGGUUAGCGUUGUUCGGAAUUACUGGGCGUAAAGCGCGCGUAGGCGGACAUUUAAGUCAGAGGUGAAAUCCCAGGGCUCAACCCUGGAACUGCCUUUGAUACUGGGUGUCUUGAGUUCGAGAGAGGUGAGUGGAAUUCCGAGUGUGGAGGUGAAAUUCGUAGAUAUUCGGAGGAACACCAGUG
This 567-nucleotide ribosomal RNA is filed under the name uncultured bacterium. Its description in RNAcentral is "bacterial SSU rRNA". It matches the Rfam family "Bacterial small subunit ribosomal RNA", at positions 112 to 714 of the family's 1533-position model. The record is from RNAcentral.